RNAcentral lists this ribosomal RNA (253 nucleotides) under uncultured bacterium. RNAcentral describes it as "partial 16S ribosomal RNA". It matches the Rfam family "Bacterial small subunit ribosomal RNA", at positions 524 to 776 of the family's 1533-position model. The record is from RNAcentral.
UACGUAGGUGGCAAGCGUUAUCCGGAUUUAUUGGGUGUAAAGGGCGUGUAGGCGGGAGCGCAAGUCAGAUGUGAAAGGCCGGGGCUCAACCCCGGGACUGCAUUGGAAACUGUAAAGCUAGAGUGCCGGAGGGGUAAGCGGAAUUCCUAGUGUAGCGGUGAAAUGCGUAGAUAUUAGGAGGAACACCAGUGGCGAAGGCGGCUUACUGGACGGUAACUGACGCUGAGGCUCGAAAGCGUGGGGAGCAAACAGG